RNAcentral lists this ribosomal RNA (492 nucleotides) under uncultured bacterium. RNAcentral describes it as "partial 16S ribosomal RNA". It matches the Rfam family "Bacterial small subunit ribosomal RNA", at positions 28 to 507 of the family's 1533-position model. The record is from RNAcentral.
GAUGAACGCUCGCUACAGGCUUAACACAUGCAAGUCGAGGGGAAACGGCAUUAAGUGCUUGCACUUUUUGGACGUCGACCGGCGCACGGGUGAGUAACGCGUAUCCAACCUUCCCAUGACUAAGGGAUAACCUGCCGAAAGGCAGACUAAUACCUUAUGGUCUUCACUGACGGCAUCAGAUGUGAAGUAAAGAUUUAUCGGUUAUGGAUGGGGAUGCGUCUGAUUAGCUUGUUGGCGGGGUAACGGCCCACCAAGGCAACGAUCAGUAGGGGUUCUGAGAGGAAGGUCCCCCACAUUGGAACUGAGACACGGUCCAAACGCCUACGGGAGGCAGCAGUGAGGAAUAUUGGUCAAUGGGCGAGAGCCUGAACCAGCCAAGUAGCGUGCAGGAUGACGGCCCUAUGGGUUGUAAACUGCUUUUGUAUGGGGAUAAAGUCAAUCACGUGUGAUUGUUUGCAGGUACCAUACGAAUAAGGACCGGCUAAUUCCGUG